Molecule: ribosomal RNA, 1036 nt
Filed under: Salmonella enterica
Lineage: Bacteria; Pseudomonadati; Pseudomonadota; Gammaproteobacteria; Enterobacterales; Enterobacteriaceae
Also listed under: 1 other name
Description: partial 23S ribosomal RNA
Rfam family: Bacterial large subunit ribosomal RNA
Source: RNAcentral
UCAUCUUCGGGGGUAGAGCACUGUUUCGGCUAGGGGGUCAUCCCGACUUACCAACCCGAUGCAAACUACGAAUACCGAAGAAUGUUAUCACGGGAGACACACGGCGGGUGCUAACGUCCGUCGUGAAGAGGGAAACAACCCAGACCGCCAGCUAAGGUCCCAAAGUCACAGUUAAGUGGGAAACGAUGUGGGAAGGCUCAGACAGCCAGGAUGUUGGCUUAGAAGCAGCCAUCAUUUAAAGAAAGCGUAAUAGCUCACUGGUCGAGUCGGCCUGCGCGGAAGAUGUAACGGGGCUAAACUGUGCACCGAAGCUGCGGCAGCGACACUAUGUGUUGUUGGGUAGGGGAGCGUUCUGUAAGCCGUUGAAGGUGUGUCGUGAGGCAUGCUGGAGGUAUCAGAAGUGCGAAUGCUGACAUAAGUAACGAUAAAGCGGGUGAAAAACCCGCUCGCCGGAAGACCAAGGGUUCCUGUCCAACGUUAAUCGGGGCAGGGUGAGUCGACCCCUAAGGCGAGGCCGAAAGGCGUAGUCGAUGGGAAACAGGUUAAUAUUCCUGUACUUGGUGUUACUGCGAAGGGGGGACGGAGAAGGCUAUGUUGGCCGGGCGACGGUUGUCCCGGUUUAAGCGUGUAGGUUUGCAGACCAGGUAAAUCCGGUCUGCUUCAAGACUGAGACGUGAUGACGAGGCACUACGGUGCUGAAGUAACAAAUGCCCUGCUUCCAGGAAAAGCCUCUAAGCAUCAGGUAACACGAAAUCGUACCCCAAACCGACACAGGUGGUCAGGUAGAGAAUACCAAGGCGCUUGAGAGAACUCGGGUGAAGGAACUAGGCAAAAUGGUGCCGUAACUUCGGGAGAAGGCACGCUGAUACGUAGGUGAAGCGGUUUACCCGUGGAGCUGAAAUCAGUCGAAGAUACCAGCUGGCUGCAACUGUUUAUUAAAAACACAGCACUGUGCAAACACGAAAGUGGACGUAUACGGUGUGACGCCUGCCCGGUGCCGGAAGGUUAAUUGAUGGGGUUAGCGCAAGCGAAGCUC